Molecule: ribosomal RNA, 497 nt
Filed under: uncultured bacterium
Lineage: Bacteria
Description: partial 16S ribosomal RNA
Rfam family: Bacterial small subunit ribosomal RNA
Source: RNAcentral
GACGAACGCUGGCGGCGUGCCUAAUACAUGCAAGUUGAGCGCUGAAGGUUGGUACUUGUACCAACUGGAUGAGCAGCGAACGGGUGAGUAACGCGUGGGGAAUCUGCCUUUGAGCGGGGGACAACAUUUGGAAACGAAUGCUAAUACCGCAUAAAAACUUUAAACACAAGGUUUAAGUUUGAAAGAUGCAAUUGCAUCACUCAAAGAUGAUCCCGCGUUGUAUUAGCUAGUUGGUGAGGUAAAGGCUCACCAAGGCGAUGAUACAUAGCCGACCUGAGAGGGUGAUCGGCCACAUUGGGACUGAGAAACGGCCCAAAACCCUACGGGAGGCAGCAGUAGGGAAUCUUCGGCAAUGGACGAAAGUCUGAACGAGCAACGCCGCGGGAGGGAAGAAGGGUUUCGGAUCGUAAAACUCUGUUGGUAGAGAAGAACGUUGGUGAGAGUGGAAAGCUCAUCAAGUGACGGUAACUACCCAGAAAGGGACGGCUAACUACGUG